CUCCGUAGGUGAACCUGCGGAGGGAUCAUUACACAAAUAUGAAGGCGGGCUGGAACCUCUCGGGGUUACAGCCUUGCUGAAUUAUUCACCCUUGUCUUUUGCGUACUUCUUGUUUCCUUGGUGGGUUCGCCCACCACUAGGACAAACAUAAACCUUUUGUAAUUGCAAUCAGCGUCAGUAACAAAUUAAUAAUUACAACUUUCAACAACGGACCUCUUGGUUCUGGCAUCGAUGAAGAACGCAGCGAAAUGCGAUAAGUAGUGUGAAUUGCAGAAUUCAGUGAAUCAUCGAAUCUUUGAACGCACAUUGCGCCCUUUGGUAUCCCAAAGGGCAUGCCUGUUCGAGCGUCAUUUGUACCCUCAAGCUUUGCUUGGUGUUGGGCGUCUUGUCUCUAGCUUUGCUGGAGACUCGCCUUAAAGUAAUUGGCAGCCGGCCUACUGGUUUCGGAGCGCAGCACAAGUCGCACUCUCUAUCAGCAAAGGUCUAGCAUCCAUUAAGCCUUUUUUCAACUUUUGACCUCGGAUCAGGUAGGGAUACCCGCUGAACUUAAGC
Molecule: ribosomal RNA, 552 nt
Filed under: uncultured fungus
Lineage: Eukaryota; Fungi
Description: eukaryotic LSU rRNA
Rfam family: 5.8S ribosomal RNA (bases 197-350)
Source: RNAcentral